RNAcentral lists this non-coding RNA (27 nucleotides) under Mus musculus (house mouse). Lineage: Eukaryota; Metazoa; Chordata; Mammalia; Rodentia; Muridae. The record is from RNAcentral.
UGAUGGAUGGGGAGUGGCUAAUGGCAG